GGCAGGGUAUGGGCCACAGAAGAAGUUGAACCUGUCCCAUAAGCCCCGGGCCCCCAGCACUGACCUGCCAGAACCACGGCAGUCUGGGUUUGUUCCAGAAACUUCUCAGGAAACCCAAGUUUGAAGGAUGGUGACACAGGGGAGCCAAGGAGAGGGCAGGCCUUUCCUGAGUGCUGAGUCUGCAGGCCCUGCCCAGGAACAGGUGAGCGAGCUGGUGAGUGGUGUUUCAGGGCAUCGGGGAGCCAUGCAGGAGACACGAGGAGUGCCAGAGCAACUGCUGUACCAUCAACAGCCUGGCCCCACACACGCUCUGCACCCCUAAGACCAUCUUCCUGCAGUGCCUGCCCUGGAGGAAGCCCAAUGGGUACAGAUGCUCGCACGACUCAGAGUGCCAGAGCAGCUGCUGCGUCCGCAACAACAGCCCGCAGGAGUUGUGCACGCCCCAAAGCGUCUUCCUGCAGUGUGUGCCCUGGCGCAAGGUGAGCUGCGGGCACCCGGGGCAGAUGGAGCAGGGGUAGCCGGAGACAGCCCCUCUCCACGACUGCUGCCUGGCUGCCUCCCCAGCCCAACGGCGACUUCUGCAGCAGCCAUCAGGAGUGUCACAGCCAGUGCUGCAUCCAGCUGAGGGAGUACAGCCCCUUCCGCUGCAUUCCCCGGACCGGGAUCCUGGCCCAGUGCCUGCCCCUGUGAUGUGAGCUCGAACCUGGGCGCGAGGGACCGGCCUGGGCCCUGGGAUGUUCACGCAGGACCGCGUUGCGCGGGGGCUGGUUCCAGCGGAAGCUUCCCUUACGGUUUGUGCUGCUGUUUCUGGGGCUCUGAAAAUCUGUGGGAACUGAAAGGCUGUGACCAGCCUGGUGGCGCGAAGUGUCUGUGAGAACAAAUCCCAGGCACUGGGGUGUAGCCUGAUUGUUAAACAUCAAUAAAGGCUCCUGGCCGACUGAGCAGCCGUGUCUCACCCCUUCUGUGUUUUGAAUAAUAAAAGCAUAAAAUCUG
This 993-nucleotide long non-coding RNA is filed under the name Homo sapiens (human). RNAcentral's name for it is "non-protein coding lnc-LRCOL1-2:16". The record is from RNAcentral. Lineage: Eukaryota; Metazoa; Chordata; Mammalia; Primates; Hominidae.